RNAcentral lists this ribosomal RNA (2859 nucleotides) under bioreactor metagenome. RNAcentral's name for it is "bacterial LSU rRNA". It matches the Rfam family "Bacterial large subunit ribosomal RNA". The record is from RNAcentral.
GAAAGGAAAGAAGAGCGAACGGUGGAUGCCUAGGCUAUCCGGAGGCGAUGAAAGACGUGGUAAGCUGCGAAAAGCCGCGGGGAUUUGCAAACAGGAGUUGAUCCGCGGAUGUCUGAAUGGGGCAACCCACUGGAUUGAAGAUCCAGUACCAUCUGUGAAGAUGGGGCGAACCCGGGGAACUGAAACAUCUUAGUACCCGGAGGAAGAGAAAGAAAAGUCGAUACCCUGAGUAGUGGCGAGCGAAAGGGGCAGAGCCUAAACCGUGUUGUUUACGGACAAUGCGGGGUUGUAGGAGUAAUCACAAAGGCAGUACAUGGAACCAGAACGCUGUGGAAACAGCGACCGUAGAGGGUGACAGUCCCGUACGGGUAACAGUGUACGGCCGCGAUUACCACCUGAGUAGGGCGGGGCACGAGGAAUCCUGUCUGAAUCUGCGGGGACCAUCCCGCAAGGCUAAACACUCCCGGAAGACCGAUAGUGGACCAGUACCGUGAGGGAAAGGUGGGAAGCACCCCGAGCAGGGGAGUGAAACAGAACCUGAAACCGUUCGUUUACAAGCGGUCGGAGCGUCGUAAGGCGCGACGGCGUGCCUUUUGCAUAAUGAGCCUACGAGUUGUAUCUUUGUGGCGAGGUUAAGCACUUCAGGUGCGUAAGCCGUAGCGAGAGCGAGUCUGAACAGGGCGCCGAUAGUCACAAGGAACAGACGCGAAACCUAGUGAUCUACCCAUGACCAGGGUGAAGUGGCGGUAACACGCCAUGGAGGCCCGAACCAGUUUCCGUUGAAAAGGGCUUGGAUGAGUUGUGGGUAGGAGUGAAAGGCCAAUCAAACUGGGAGAUAGCUCGUACUCCCCGAAAUGUCUUUAGGGACAGCCUCGGACAUGAUUACGUGAGGUAAAGCUACUGAUAGGAUGCGGGGGCUUCAUCGCCUGCCAAAUCCUGACAAACUCUGAAUGCGCGUAAGACUGAGUCCGGGAGUGAGUCGUCGGGUGCUAAUAUCCGUCGGCGAAAGGGUAAGAGCCCAGACCAACAGCCAAGGCCCCGAAACACGGUUUAAGUUGAGACAGAACGAGGUGACAUCGCAGUGACAGCUAGGAUGUUAGCUUGGAAGCAGCUAUUCAUUCAAAGAGUGCGUAACAGCUCACUAGUCGAGCGGAGUUGCGUGGAUGAUGAGCGGGCAUCAAGACCGUUGCCGAAGCUAUGGGAUGCGCAAGCAUCGGUAGGGGAGCAUUCCAGUCAGCCUUGAAGGUGCGUUGUGAGACGUGCUGGAGCGGCUGGAAAAGAAAAUGUAGGCAUAAGUAACGACAAUGCAUGUAGAAACAUGCACACCGAAAACCCAAGGUUUCCUCAGCAACGUUAAACGCCUGAGGGUAAGCCGGGGACUAAGGGUAACCCGAAGGGGGAUCCCGAUGACGAGGCGGUUAAGAUUCCGCCGCCUGCUUUACAGGAGAGCGUGAGACCGGGGAGUGACACGGCCGCGUGCUGACGGAAUAGCACGUUGAAGGGCGUAGGCGCGAGCUGAAACCCGACAGUACGGAGCGUCUUCGGACAAUCUGACAGCGCCGGUAACCAUACCUGCAAGAAAAUCGCGCGAUCGUGUAGCGUAAAGCAGCCCGUACCGUAAACCGACACAGGUGGGUGAGGAGAGAAUCCUCAGGUGCUCGAGUGAAUCAUGGCUAAGGAACUAGGCAAAUUUACCCCGUAACUUCGGGAGAAGGGGACCCUGCUUCGGCAGGGCGCAGAGAAAUGGCCCAGGCGACUGUUUACCAAAAACACAUGGCUACGCUAAAUCGUUAAGAUGAGAUAUGUGGCCUGACACCUGCCCGGUGACGGAAGGUUAAGAGGGGGGCUCAGCGCAAGCGAAGGUCUGAAUCGAAGCCCCGUUAAACGGCGGCCGUAACUAUAACGGUCCUAAGGUAGCGAAAUUCCUUGUCGGGUAAGUUCCGACCUGCACGAAUGGUGUAACGAUCUGGGCACUGUCUCAGCCAUGAGCUCGGUGAAAUUGUAGUGGCGGUGAAGAUGCCGCCUACCCGCAACGGGACGAAAAGACCCCGUGAACCUUUACUAUAGCUUAGCGCUGAUCUUGGACGUCAGAUGUGUAGGAUAGGUGGGAGACUGUGAGGCGGGUACGCUAGUACCCGUGGAGUCAUUGGUGAAAUACCACCCUUCUGGCGCCCGGGGUCUAACUUCGUAAGAAGGACACCGCUUGGUGGGUAGUUUGACUGGGGUGGUCGCCUCCAAAAGCGUAACGGAGGCUUCCCAAGGUCCGCUCAGCGCGGAUGGCAAUCGCGCGUAGAGUGCAGUGGCAUAAGCGGGCUUGACUGAGAGACUCACAAGUCGAUCAGGUACGAAAGUAGGGCAAAGUGAUCCGGUGGUUCCUCAUGGGAGGGCCAUCGCUCAUAGGAUAAAAGGUACUCCGGGGAUAACAGGCUGAUCGCUCCCAAGAGCUCAAAUCGACGGAGCGGUUUGGCACCUCGAUGUCGGCUCGUCACAUCCUGGGGCUGGAGCAGGUUCCAAGGGUUCGGCUGUUCGCCGAUUAAAGUGGCACGCGAGCUGGGUUCAGAACGUCGUGAGACAGUUCGGUCUCUAUCUGUUGUGGGCGUUGGAAAAUUGCGAAGGACUGACCUUAGUACGAGAGGACCGGGUCGGACAAGCCUCUGGUAUACCGGUUGUGGCGCCAGCUGCACCGCCGGGUAUCCACGCUUGGUCAGGAUAAGCGCUGAAAGCAUCUAAGCGCGAAGCCGUCUUCAAGAUGAGUUUUCCCUUGAGGGUCGUGGGAGACUACCACGUUGAUAGGCAGGAUGUGUAAGUUCAGAGAUGGGCUCAGCAGACCUGUACUAAUUGCCCGAGCGACUUUCUCUU